AACCAUGUUGCACAUCAUUAUUAUUGUGGCACUUGCAGUUGUGGUAGUGGUAAGUGUGUUGUUUGCUGGCCACAAUGGCAGUACAACCUUUGGGGUAUUAAAAACAGGUGCCAAAUAGAUCCACAAGGAGCAAAUUGUAGAGCCCAAAAAGUUCUUGCGCAUCUUCACAAGAAAAGUGAACUUCAAGCCUCAGCAGGACCAAAUAUUAAGCGCAAUUGUGAUCACCGAUAAUAGUCAAUCGAAGGGCGGAACAGCUUUUCUACUCAAAGGAGGACCACCUGCCAGAUUUGCGAUGAUUGGUUUCCAAUCACAUCGAAAUCACGGUCUGAAUUUCACACUGGAGAUAUAUAUAUAUAUAUGCCUCUGAAUUAUGCGUUGCAUUUAAAAAUACAGAUUAAUUUCCUAGAAAAUUUAUCAAUAA
Long non-coding RNA from Drosophila sechellia, 421 nucleotides. RefSeq lists it as uncharacterized. Lineage: Eukaryota; Metazoa; Arthropoda; Insecta; Diptera; Drosophilidae. The transcript has 2 exons. The record is from RefSeq and is a predicted model, not a curated record.